Molecule: non-coding RNA, 3035 nt
Organism: Oryctolagus cuniculus (rabbit)
Lineage: Eukaryota; Metazoa; Chordata; Mammalia; Lagomorpha; Leporidae
Source: RefSeq, a predicted model, not a curated record
UGAUUGGCUGGUGGGCACCCAGUUGUGGCCAGGUAGGGCAUGAGGUCACACAGGGGUGUGGUGAAGGUAUCAGGGUGUUAGGUCACACAGGGGUGUGGCAAAGGCAUGGUCUUCCAGCUCUCAAACCUGAUCGAUUUUAACCUAUAUGCCUGCCUACUUCAGUCACCAUUAUUAUAUCGUCUAGCUUAUUAAUAAUUUUUAAUAAUAAUAAUCUUGGUGGGUUCUUGCCAUCGAUUCAGAGAAGAAUUCUGAAUACUGGCUCAAAUAGACCAGACAACAUGUUUCAGAUUGGGAGAAACCAAGGAGCAGUAGCUGGCACCAACUGCUGAAAUCCCUUUGCCUCAUCUCAAACUCCCUUUAAGACCUAGGAUGAUGGUGAAAAGAAUUGGAGAGUAAUCCAAGUGCAAGGGCUGAAGACUUCAAGAAGCAAGGCUUCAGUAUUCUGGAGUUUCAAGGCAGAAAACUAGGCCUGAGGGCACAGAUGGAUGGGAAGUGGCUGCACCUGCCUCCCCACUCAUACCUGCCCAGAUGUCAAGGAAGGUUCUGUACCAUUAAGCUAUGAAGGGUUAUUAAUUUCUUCAGAAAUAUGUGAAGUGACCAAGGACACAUAGUAGACAUUGAAAAAUGUAAGAAGAGGAAAUCUGCCCAGAAAAAGUCUGCAUCAUGGGACUGAGACCUUAACAUCUGCAGGCACAGGUGUUUCAUUGUCACAGGAAGCAGGUGAGAUGCCUUUGGCCAAAGCAAUCCCCCUUGUAAGAGAUUAGAGGAAAAUAGUUGAGAGCAAGAUCAGAGCAUGCAUUGUCAAACCAGAAGUCACUCAGAGCUAUCAAUCAGUGGCCUGUGUUGCCAAAAAACUCUGCUGUCAUCUACAUUAUGUUUAGUAAACCUACUCAAGACGUGCCAUAGCAACCACUGUGGAACAAGAGGCUCCACCCAUGCCAGAUUGCUUCAGCCUGAAGGUGGUCCUUGAUGAGUGGAUUACUUUCCAGAAUAAGGUGUUAUGGACUGAAUGUUUUGCCCUUCCAACACUGCCAUGCUGAUAUUCUAAGCCACAAUUAGAAGGUGAGUCUUUUGGGAUGUAAUCGGCAUUAGUAGGGCAGAUCCUUUAUGAAGGGGAUUGAUAUUUUAUAAAACAGGGACCAGAAGGCUCUCUAGAUUUUCUUCUUGCCAUGUGAAGAUACAAUGGGAAGCAUACAGUCUGCAGCCUGAGAGAGGGCCCUCAUAAGAAGCCUACUAAGCUGACAACCUCAUGUCUGAGCUCCAGCCUCCAGAACUGUGAUAAACAAAUGUCUAUCUCUGUAAGCCAGCCAUUGCCAUUCUGUGGUGCUUUGUUAUAGCAGCCUGAACCAAGUCAUAAGGAGAGAUUGAGUCUAUCAGAACAUUGCUUUGAUGAAAAGGCUUUCUGUAUUGAGAAUGCAUUUUAUAGGAGAAUUGCACUAAAUGAGUAAAACAGGAACAAUCACCCACUUUUGUUUUUUUGCCUUAAAUUUGAGGGAGAGUAUGAUAGUAUAUGCUACAAACGGAAAGAUCUCUGGCCAGGGCCUCAUUCCUCAAACAUCAUCUGACAAGUCUUUUCCAUAAAAUUCCUCUUGGGUCAGGUCUUUGUGAUUAUUAGAAUUUGGGGAGCAUAUAAUGAACCUGCAAAGAAAAAUCUGAUAUUGGCGGAAUUCAUACUUCACUUCUAGCCAUAAACUCAGCUUCAUAAACUAGAGUGUCUUCACAUUUGCAAAUCUGAGUAUCAUUCAAAAAAUUAAACUUGAUUACAAGCUAUGCAAAGAAUUGAUCUUUCAGUUGGCUAAAAAAUUGCCCCAAUCCCUUGAUAAAGAGAAUCUAUGGUUUGCCUUCCUUUGAGAGAUUUGUGUUUGCAGAACUAAAAUCCACCAAAAGUACACUUCCAGGACUCUGAAAACUGAGGCCAAGGUCAUUUUAAAAGUAAAUUAAUCCUACUGAUUUCUGUCUUUUACAUGUCCUUAGAGUCAGAGAAUUAUGGUGAGGCAGGAUUCUUAUUUGCUAAAUGAAAUGUUAAAACCAGCUAGUAAAAGUUGUCAAAUUUAUAGUGGAGAUAGUAAAAAUGGGAAUUGCAAUCAUUUAGGCAUAAGUAAUUUUUGUGUUUAUUGUCUUCAUCUUUCAGAAGGGAAUUAAAAAAAUAUAUAAUCUUCAAGAUUGAGGGGAAGAGCUAUAGAACCACUUUGGAAUAACCUGUGGUCAUCCCUGAAAGGAGGUCAUUGCUCUUUAGUGAGAAUAUACAAUAGCUGCAUCUCCAUCCCAAUGGCAGGCAUCUUCCAGGUUAGAAACUUGUUAUAUUGACCAAUUUUUCACACUACAACUUCAAUUCAGUUGUCCUAAAUUCCAUCUCACUGAUAUACAAUUUUUUUCUUGCAAAUUAUAGCCUUUCAAGAAGUUGAAGAAAGAUUUGAAAGUUGUUUUUGGAGGAUUCUGAAAGGAAAUUACAUGUUGCUUUCUUUAAUGCGUUGGUUAUGUUUGAUAUAUGCUUGUAAAGUGUGAAAAUCUGUUUCAUUCUAUAGAUGUCUGUCCAUCUUUCUUCUGAUGAGAGUGGGCCAUUAGAACUGGACAAAUGGUGCAUUCCCAUUAAACAGAUAUUGAGCUGUCAGAAGCCAUUGAUACAGAGUGUGCUCUUCUCUUGGAUUUUUGUUUUCCAAGGUCAAUGUGCAUAAUCUCAGCUCUCUGGUAUCUCACUAGUGCCUAUUAGUAGACUGCCCAUAAAGUUACCUCCUCAGAAGCCAACUCCAGUUUUUCUCUGAUCUCUGAAGUCUACCCAAUAUUGUUGAUAUUGAAAAUGAUUUUACCUUAAUUGAUGGCAAUUGAAAGUGUCAGUACAAUUUGGGCUGAUCAAUAUGUAAGUAGCCAGGGCCUGAGUAGUCAAUUAGUCUUCGAGUUUCUAAGAGAAACUUCCGUUAAUAGACACACUGACUGGGUAGCUAGAGUCAGACAACUGAGGUCAGUGCAUCAGAUUAGCAGAGCACCAGGUACAGAGUCUUUCUGUCCUGUCUCCCUGUGAGAACUGUGCAGAGAGC